AACUGGAGAUACCGGCCAGCCCUCAGAUCGCCACUCCGAGCCGCGGGGCCGCCAGCACCCGGAACGAGCGGCCAAGGCUGGGUCGGCCUGACGGCGACGCCGGAAGCGAAGACGCAGCUCGCCGGAGCCGGCCCGGGACCAGUCGACCCUGGCAUGUAGACCAAGGGCACGGCUGCCCGGCGACGGCGCCCGAGGCAGGAGGCGACCCUGCCCGAGCGGUGGGGCGCGUGACGUAGCGAGGCGCGCCCGGGGUGGAGACCGCGGCGGGGCUGGGUGCCGAGGGCCUGAGGCGACCCCGCCCUGGACCAGCUCAGCUCGACGGUGGUGUCACGUGGGCCUCCUCCCGACGGCGAACUGGGGAGGGCGCGAGGCUGGCCGUGGCGCCGCCGUAUAUAAAGCGUGUGCUCGGCGGUUCAAGUCAGUUCAGUUCGAGUUCCAGUCUCCAGUCUGCUCCAGCCUGCCUUCAAGACCGCAGUCGACCGGUCGGCCGAGACCCCGUCGGCCGCUGGGCGCUCGCAGUGAUUGGGUGUGGCGUGCACAGUGUCAGUGAUAGUGCUUGAGAUAACGCAGAUCUACCUCAUUCCCUCCCCCUAUGGCGACAAUCAUUUGUUCUUCAUAUUGGUGGAAGGGAUGUGGAAAACUGGAGAUACCGGCCAGCCCUCAGAUCGCCACUCCGAGCCGCGGGGCCGCCAGCACCCGGAACGAGCGGCCAAGGCUGGGUCGGCCUGACGGCGACGCCGGAAGCGAAGACGCAGCUCGCCGGAGCCGGCCCGGGACCAGUCGACCCUGGCAUGUAGACCAAGGGCACGGCUGCCCGGCGACGGCGCCCGAGGCAGGAGGCGACCCUGCCCGAGCGGUGGGGCGCGUGACGUAGCGAGGCGCGCCCGGGGUGGAGACCGCGGCGGGGCUGGGUGCCGAGGGCCUGAGGCGACCCCGCCCUGGACCAGCUCAGCUCGACGGUGGUGUCACGUGGGCCUCCUCCCGACGGCGAACUGGGGAGGGCGCGAGGCUGGCCGUGGCGCCGCCGUAUAUAAAGCGUGUGCUCGGCGGUUCAAGUCAGUUCAGUUCGAGUUCCAGUCUCCAGUCUGCUCCAGCCUGCCUUCAAGACCGCAGUCGACCGGUCGGCCGAGACCCCGUCGGCCGCUGGGCGCUCGCAGUGAUUGGGUGUGGCGUGCACAGUGUCAGUGAUAGUGCUUGAGAUGUAAGUACACGGGCUCAACCAGCCGCGCUGGCUAUGGCGCGCUGGUUGGGAUUAGAGGAGAGUAGUGGAGAGGAGAGUAUGAGAUCAGUAGUGAGUGUGGAUCUUUGUUUUCCCUAUCCUCAAUAAUAACACCUCUAUGUGUAAA
Long non-coding RNA from Amphibalanus amphitrite, 1346 nucleotides. RefSeq lists it as uncharacterized. The transcript is spliced from 2 exons. The record is from RefSeq and is a predicted model, not a curated record. Lineage: Eukaryota; Metazoa; Arthropoda; Thecostraca; Balanomorpha; Balanidae.